UUAAAUGUUGUCUAAUUGUUUGCCCAUUUAUCAUAUAUAUAUUAUCUAUAUAAUAUAUAUCAUUCCAUUUAUUAAAUAUAAUUAUAAUAUUAAUAUUAGUUUUAAUAUAUGUUAAAACCUUCAGCCUCUUCUCUUCAUCCCCCAAACUUUCAUUUCCCCCAAAUUGUAGACGUUCCCGCCUCUUCCACAUGUUCUCCCCAAACCCAUUUCAUCACUCUCAUCUCAACCAUUUCACAAAGCCAAACCCAGACCCUUACCUCACUAGCUCUCUGUCUCACUCUCAUCUCAGGUAUGUAUUUAAUUUUUGUUUUCUUUCCGCCUCUCACUAUCUCACUAGCUCUCUCUCUGUUUCUCUCACUUCUUCACUUCGUUCUCUCAAGGUACACACACACACACACACAUAUAUAUAUGUUUUUUUUGGUGAAAAGGCUCUCAUUGUGCUCUUAAUAUUCGACUCCCUUAUUUAUGUGUUUUUUUUAUUUAUUUUUUUGGUAAAAAAUGGAAGUUCCCGCCGGUACGUCUCCCCCACCGAGGUCUCUCCAAUAUCGAUUCUCUCUUAGUCAUCUCUCUCACAGUGAUGGGAUUUGAUACAAAUAUGAUGGUGGGCUUCUCUUUAGUUGGGUCAUACACCAGAUCACCUCACACCUCAAGACCCUUAAGUUCAUGCUCCCAAAGAUAACUGAAGGGGAUCAAUAUUGGAUCGAUGCAUGGUGAGCUUUCUUCUCCUUAAUCAUUUUUUUUCUGCCGAUGAGGACAUAUUGAGUGCAUAAGUAGACGUAAUCUUCCUUGUCCACGGAAAUAAAUCAAUAAUUUUGCAUAAACAUUUGCAGUAGCUGUUUAUUUCUCUAUUGAUUCCUCUAGUUAUGUAUGUGGGACUCACAAUAUCUCUUUUUCUAAAUUUGUAAGUAAAGACAUAUUCUAGUUUCGUUCAUAAUAAGUAAAUUGUCUUCUGAUUUC
This is a long non-coding RNA of Humulus lupulus (European hop), 957 nucleotides long. RefSeq lists it as uncharacterized. Lineage: Eukaryota; Viridiplantae; Streptophyta; Magnoliopsida; Rosales; Cannabaceae. The transcript has 2 exons. The record is from RefSeq and is a predicted model, not a curated record.